RNAcentral lists this ribosomal RNA (497 nucleotides) under uncultured bacterium. RNAcentral's name for it is "partial 16S ribosomal RNA". It matches the Rfam family "Bacterial small subunit ribosomal RNA", at positions 28 to 507 of the family's 1533-position model. The record is from RNAcentral.
GAUGAACGCUGGCGGCGUGCCUAAUACAUGCAAGUCGAGCGAACAGACGAGGAGCUUGCUCCUCUGACGUUAGCGGCGGACGGGUGAGUAACACGUGGAUAACCUACCUAUAAGACUGGGAUAACUUCGGGAAACCGGAGCUAAUACCGGAUAAUAUAUUGAACCGCAUGGUUCAAUAGUGAAAGACGGUUUUGCUGUCACUUAUAGAUGUAUCCGCGCCGCAUUAGCUAGUUGGUAAGGUAACGGCUUACCAAGGCGACGAUGCGUAGCCGACCUGAGAGGAUGAUCGGCCACACUGGAACUGAGACACGGUCCAGACUCCUACGGGAGGCAGCAGUAGGGAAUCUUCCGCAAUGGGCGAAAGCCUGACGGAGCAACGCCGCGUGAGUGAUGAAGGUCUUCGGAUCGUAAAACUCUGUUAUUAGGGAAGAACAAAUGUGUAAGUAACUAUGCACGUCUUGACGGUACCUAAUCAGAAAGCCACGGCUAACUACGUG